AACGGCGAGUGAAGCGGCAAAAGCUCAAAUUUGAAAUCUGGCCUCCUCCGGGGGUCCGAGUUGUAAUUUGUAGAGGAUGCUUCGGGUGUGGCCGCCGUCUAAGUUCCUUGGAACAGGACGUCAGAGAGGGUGAGAAUCCCGUCUUGGGCGGCCGGCCCGCGCCCGUGUGAAGCUCCUUCGACGAGUCGAGUUGUUUGGGAAUGCAGCUCUAAGCGGGUGGUAAAUUUCAUCUAAAGCUAAAUACUGGUCGGAGACCGAUAGCGCACAAGUAGAGUGAUCGAAAGGUUAAAAGCACCUUGAAAAGGGAGUUAAACAGCACGUGAAAUUGUUGAAAGGGAAGCGCUUGCGGCCAGACUCGGGGGCGGGGUUCAGCGGGCGCUCGUCGCCCGUGCACUCCCCGUCUCCCGGGCCAGCAUCAGUUUCGACGGCCGGUCAAAGGCCCCCGGAAUGUGUCGUCUCUCGGGACGUCUUAUAGCCGGGGGUGCAAUGCGGCCCGUCGGGACUGAGGAACGCGCUUCGGCUCGGAUGCUGGCGUAAUGGCCGUAAGCGGCCCGUCUUGAAACACGGACCAAGGAGUCUAACAUCCACGCGAGUGUUCGGGUGUCAAACCCGUGCGCGCAGUGAAAGCGAACGGAGGUGGGAGCCUUAGGGCGCACCAUCGACCGAUCCUGAAGUCUUCGGAUGGAUUUGAGUAGGAGCGUGGCCGUUGGGACCCGAAAGAUGGUGAACUAUGCCUGAAUAGGGUGAAGCCAGAGGAAACUCUGGUGGAGGCUCGCAGCGGUUCUGACGUGCAAAUCGAUCGUCAAAUUU
RNAcentral lists this ribosomal RNA (810 nucleotides) under Nannizzia corniculata. RNAcentral describes it as "LSU rRNA". It matches the Rfam family "Eukaryotic large subunit ribosomal RNA", at positions 85 to 912 of the family's 3401-position model. Lineage: Eukaryota; Fungi; Ascomycota; Eurotiomycetes; Onygenales; Arthrodermataceae. The record is from RNAcentral.